This 4726-nucleotide long non-coding RNA is filed under the name Equus asinus (donkey). Its description in RNAcentral is "lncRNA (ENSEASG00005031541.1)". Lineage: Eukaryota; Metazoa; Chordata; Mammalia; Perissodactyla; Equidae. The record is from RNAcentral.
GGGGGGUCUGCCCUCAUGAAUGGGUUAAUGCUCUUAUAGAAGAGGCUGCCAAGAGUUCCCUAGCCCCUUGGGCCAUGUGAAGACGCGAGGAGAAGUCAGCUACCAGGAAGAGGGCCCUCCCUUGGCCACGUUGGCUCCCUGCUUUGAGACUUCCAGCCUCCAAAACUGUGAGAAAUCAAUUCCCGUUGUUUAUAAGCCACCCAGUGUCUGGUAUUCUGUUACAGCAGCCCAAACGGACUGAGCCACAUGCCCACCUCCCCUGGCUCUCCAACCCUCAUCCCUCUUUGCAGGGAACCAGGAAGCUGGCAGCUUGGGUGGCAGCAGCUAGAUUUGAAUCCCUCAUGGCAAGAGCUGCCCGGAUGUUAAGCCAGCUUCCCUGCUCGGGAGCUCACUUGCUUUCUCCGGAUCGACCCGGUCAGGUGGAUCCUGCUGGGGAGACUCCGGCUUUGAGCUGCCCACCUUUGACGCCUCCAGGAGCAGCAGAAAAGGCUGACGUGGGAUCAGCCAGGCCUGGGAUUGAAUUCCAGUCCCACCACAGUCUAGCUGGGCAUCCACAGGCAAAUGCCUUCAUCACCCUGCGCCAUGGUUCUCAGGGAAUGUUUGUUGAUUGACUGACUGAGUGACUAAAAGAAUGAAUGAGUGAAGGAAUGAUUUAACGAAUGAAUGGCCAGCUCCAGGAUGCUGAUUGGAAGCUGGAGAGGAGGCUCCAAAUCCACCCCAGGCCCUCUAGGCCUGCCUCCUGGCCUCCCGCAGGGCCUUCCAUCUUUUGCCUCAUGGGGGUGGGGGUAGAGCAGGGGCAGGGGCUGGACUCCCCAGCCUCUGUCCUGCCCCCAAAUGCGCACAAUCUUCGUGACACUGUUUAAUUUUACAAGCCCCUCGGCUUUUAUGAGGGUUAUUUAUAAAGCUCCCGUCUUUGAUCCGCAGCAUAAGAAAGCAAACUCCUGUGUCUGAAAAUGUCACUGGGGAUUAGGGGAGCCUUUGAAGUCUCCUCCCUGCCAGCCGCCCCUGCCCAGCUUCUCCUCCAAAGGGCCUCCAAACCUGGCCAGGCCCUGGGGGCCCUCCUUUGAGGUGGAAGCGGCCCGGGUCCAGAUGAGUGACAGUCACGUGACAGCUGGAGGGGUUCAGGCUAGCUCCCCGGGUGGCGAAGAGAGGGACCAAGGAGACAGAGCCGAGAAGCCAGGAUGUUUCCUGCUCCACCUGGUUCCCCCUGCAGCGGAGCCCAGAGGGAUGAACAGGACUGCCUGGCCCGGCUCCGUUCACACACUCACAGUGGCCUCAGUGCCUCUAGGAUGUCUCCCCGCUCGCUCUCUCUGGAUCUUGCAGGACCUCCGAGCGUCUCCAGAGCCAACAGCAGGUGGGGGGUGAGAUCCCAGCUUGCCGCUCUCUGAGCUGUGUGAUCUUGGGCAAGCCCUUGCCCUCUCUGACCUGCUGUUCUCCUGUUUCCAAAACAAGACCCUCACUCCACGCAAGGUCAUGUGGGAUUAAAGGAAGUCGUUCCCAGGGGCGUGUGGGAUGCUUGGAGCCCUCGAAGGAGCCAGUGGUUCCUCCUGCCUCCUUCUCCGGAUCCUGCUUCCUAUCUCAGGCCUGAGGCGCAGAGGAGGCAAAGCCGGGGCCCCAGGGAGAGAGGCCUCAGCCAGGCCCCUGCCUGCUCCCCUGCCCAGCUUUCUCCCAGACCCAAGGCCUGGCCUCAGCCGGUGGAGGACGAGGCCGCCAUGACCGCCCACAGUGCUGGCCACCACCUCUCCCUACACCUUCUGAAGGUCACCGAGGAGGGAUGUGGUUCCUCCCUUCAUGGGGCUUCAGGGGGACAGGCAAGAAGGUAGCAGUGGGUGGGUGCAGGGCAGGGGGCUGUGUGGGGGUGAGUGGAGGCGGGGCCGUGUGAGCAGAAAGGUGAACAGACAUGCGCGAACUGGUGAACGAAUAAACAACCCGCGGUCCACUUGUACCAGCGAGGACUGCUGGCGACAGAAAGGAACGGACCCCUGACACAAGCGACAACUUUUUCCCACCCAACUGCCAGCCUCGGGAGAGUUCCGCGGAACAUAUUUACAUCUCCCUCGUGCUGUUUAAAGGCUGUGCAGGAGUCCGCUGAGAGGAUGGACCAAAUUUAUUGAACCCGUCUGCUCGUGACAGGUAUUUCGAGCGCUGAUCUCCAUUUAUAAAGAAAUGUGUCUUUCUGGGAUCUUGUGAACGAUGCCUGUCUCCUCACUAGACGGUGACCACCCCAGGGCAGAGAGGGGGUCUCGGGUUGGACCCUGGGACAAGGACUGGUGUGCAAGUGAUUGUUGAAGGAAGUGAUCCCGAGGUAGGUGAGUAAGGGAGUGGAGGAAGCAGGACAGAGAAGGAGAGGAAGCCAUGCAGGGCGCAAUUUCGGGGACAGCCUCAUGGAAGGGGGCCUCAGCCUGAUCCCACACAGGAGCUCAGGAGCGUGAAUUACACCACGGAGUUCUCCUGCCCCGAGGUGAGGGGGCUGGACUUCCACCUUCACCUGCGGCGUUGACUCAGGACCGCCCCAGUAGGGGCCGAGGAGGGCUCUGGGCACAUGCCAGCAAGGGGCUCCAGGAGCCAGAGGUCAGUUCUUUGAAGGAGUCACAGCUGAAGGCAGAUGGAGGAGAAGCGCACAGAAGCUGGCGGGGGGCACGUGGAAACGGUUGGGAGAUGGGAGCGGAGCAUUGAUUGUACCCACUGCACUUGAGGUCUCUUUUCUUCACUACCCUUUUUUUUUUUUUUUUUGAGGAAGAUUAGCCCUGAGCUAACUGCUGCCAAUCCUCCUCUUUUCGCUGAGGAAGACUGGCCCUGAGCUAACAUCCCUGCCCAUCUUCCUCUACUUUAUAUAUGGGACGCCUACCACAGCAUGGCGUGCCAAGCGGUGCCAUGUCUGCACCCGGGAUCCGAACCGACCAACCCCAGGCCGCUGGCACGGAACGUGCACACUUUAAGCGCUGCGCCACCAGGCCAGCCCCUCUUCACUAUCCCAAGUGUCCAGCAUAGAGUUUGGCACAGAACACACACUCAGGAGGGACCUGGGGAGCAAGCAAAUGAACACCUCUGCGAACGUGAGUGUAGGAAGGGCGUCAGCAGAAGGAACGGCAUCAGCAAAGGCUCAGAAGUGGGACUAGGCAGCUGUGCUCGUAUCAAUCCAGUGCGAGCCAGCUGCCAAUUUUCAGGAAUUUUGAUGAGCUCGUGUGACACUCACAUUCUGACACCAGCUGGUACUGCCAUUCAAUCUAGUUCUGAUACUUAACCACCUGGAGUUAGCCUCAGACUCCAAAGGUCAAGGGGCGCCCUCCCAAAAAGAGGGCCCUCACUUCAGACAAAGCUGCAAGUUCAGGGGUCCCUACACUUAUGACCAACUGGCUACUAAUUCAGGGGUUCCCAUGACCUCCUCAGGUUUGAUAACUGGCCAGAACACACCACAGGACUCAGGAAAGCACUAUGUGUAUGAUUAUAGUUUUAUUAUAAAGGAUAAAAUCAGGACCAGCCAAAUGAAGAGAUACACAGGAUGAGGUCUGGGACGGUCCUGAGCUCACAGCCUCCAAGCCCUUUCGUCCGUGGAAUCCGGGCACAUCAUCCUCCUGGCGCAUCAGUGAGUUCACCGACCAGGAAGCUGUCCUGAGCCUCAGUGUCCACAGUUUUUAUUGCAGUUCCAUCACACAGGCGUGACUGACUGAGCCAUUGGCCAUGUGACUGGACUCAACCUCCAGGCUUCUCCUCUGCUUGGAGUUUGGUGUGGGGGCCUGGGGGGGUCGAGGCCCCAACCUUCCAGUCACAUGGUUGUUCUCUCUGGUGACAGCCACCAUCCUGAGUCAUCUCACCUUUUAGCACAAACUCAGGAGUGACCCAAGGGGCUCAUGAACAACACACACACACUCCUCUUAGUCUGGAAAUUCCAAGCAUUUAGAGUCUCCCUCCUAGGAACCAGACAAAGGCCAGUCAAAUUAAAAGAAAAAAAAAAAAAAAGAUUUGCACCUGAGCUAACAACUGUUGCCAAUCUUCUUUUUCUUUUUCUUUUUCCUGCUUUUUCUCCCCAAAGCCCCCUGGUACAUAGUUGUGUAUUUUUAGUUGUGGGUCCUUCUAGUUGUGGCAUGUGGGAUGCUGCCUUAGCGUGGUACCUGAUGAGCGGUACCAUGUCCGCGCCCAGGAUCCGAACCCGUGAAACCCUGGGCUGACGAAGUGGGGCACAUGAACUCAACCACUUGGCCACGGGGCCAGUCCCCAGUCAAAUUCUUUAUUACAUCACGCAGAGCAAUUCUUGAAAUUUAAAUUAUAUAAACUUACAGCCAAAUAAAUCAUAGCAUAACUGUAAUAAAUACUCAAAACUCAUCAUUUCUUCAUAUUUUACUACGUUUUGCUAUCAUGUUCUUGAGGUUAUUUCCGUCUAUUGUAUCCACAUGGUGGAAACACCAUAUAAUGGUAUCUGCACCUCUAUUCCCAACUCUGCCUUCACCCACAUGUUGGUUAGUUUGAAACCAGAGUAUUUGCACCACAGAAAUUGGCAAGUGCUACAAAUCAGAGCUUCAUUUAUCACGUCGUUGAUGAUCUAAACUUAGAAAGUCACGGAGAAAAUGUUAAUAACAUAGAUUAAACUUAAAAGUCUGUUGUUUGUAUAGCCAUUACACGUGAAGAGCACAGAAAUUGGAGGAAAUGUUCUUCCAGGAUUCAAAAACCAUUAUGCAAUUCAGCAAAGAGAUUGCUCACGUCACAGACAAAUGAGUGACAUUCUGAC